RNAcentral lists this small RNA (145 nucleotides) under Flavobacterium urumqiense. RNAcentral's name for it is "Flavo-1 RNA". It matches the Rfam family "Flavo-1 RNA". Lineage: Bacteria; Pseudomonadati; Bacteroidota; Flavobacteriia; Flavobacteriales; Flavobacteriaceae. The record is from RNAcentral.
UUUUAGCCCAGAUGGAAAUGAAAAGCCCACAGUAUAAAAAAACAAUUUUUCUUGUUGUAAAAGAGCGACCAGCGGAAGCUCCUUUUAGGACUUAGAAAAAUAUUUUUUUUAUACUGUGGCCUUGUAAUGUAUAGCUGGAUUAGCU